GAUGAACGCUGGCAGAAUGCUUAACACAUGCAAGUCGUUGGCGAAGCUGUGGUUGCACAGCCUAGCCAGGGCGGACGGGUGAGGAAAGCGUAAGGAACUUGCCCUGCAGUCAGGGAUAACAGACGGAAACGACUGAUAAGACCUGGUAAGGUCAGGCGGACUCAUGUCCAGCCUGAUGGAAAGAGAGGCUGCAGGAGAGCCUUGCGUCCUAUCAGCUUGUUGGGGGGGUAACGGCCCACCAAGCCGAGGCUAGGUGGCAGGCCGGAGAGGUUGGACGGCCAAGAGGGGGAUGAGAGGCGGCACUUACUACUACGGGAGGCAGCGGGGAAGAAUGUUGGACCAUGGCGGCAACGCUGAUGCAGCACUUCGGUGUGCACGAUGAAGGUUUUCGGGUAGUAAAGUGCUUUCAGGAGGGAAGAAAAAAAUGACGGUACCUGCAGAAGAAGCGCCGGCUAACUACGUG
RNAcentral lists this ribosomal RNA (463 nucleotides) under uncultured bacterium. RNAcentral's name for it is "partial 16S ribosomal RNA". It matches the Rfam family "Bacterial small subunit ribosomal RNA", at positions 28 to 507 of the family's 1533-position model. The record is from RNAcentral.